RNAcentral lists this ribosomal RNA (492 nucleotides) under uncultured bacterium. RNAcentral describes it as "partial 16S ribosomal RNA". It matches the Rfam family "Bacterial small subunit ribosomal RNA", at positions 29 to 507 of the family's 1533-position model. The record is from RNAcentral.
AUUGAACGCUGGCGGCAUGCUUUACACAUGCCAGUCGAACGGUAACAGGCCUUCGGGUGCUGACGAGUGGCGCACGGGUGAGUAAUGCAUCGGAACGUACCCAGAGGUGGGGGAUAACGCAGCGAAAGCUGUGCUAAUACCGCAUGUGAUCUGAGGAUGAAAGCGGGGGACCGAGCAGCAAUGUUUGGCCUCGCGCCUUUGGAGCGGCCGAUGUCGGAUUAGCUAGUUGGUGGGGUAAAGGCCUACCAAGGCGACGAUCCGUAGCUGGUCUGAGAGGACGACCAGCCACACUGGGACUGGGACACGGCCCAGACUCCUACGGGAGGCAGCAGUGGGGAAUUUUGGACAAUGGGCGCAAGCCUGAUCCAGCAAUGCCGCGUGCGGGAAGAAGGCCUUCGGGUUGUAAACCGCUUUUGGCAGGAACGAAACGGUGUCCGCUAAUACCGGGCGCUAAUGACGGUACCUGCAGAAUAAGCACCGGCUAACUACGUG